GCCUGGUGUGGUGGUGCACGCCAGUAGUCCCUGCUACCUGGGGGGCUGAGGCAGAAGAAUUGCUUGAAUCCAGGAGGUCUAGGCUGCAGUGAGCCAAGAUUGUGCCACUGCACUCCAACCUGGGCAACAGAGCAAUAUCCUGUCUCAA
Molecule: unclassified non-coding RNA, 148 nt
Organism: Macaca fascicularis (crab-eating macaque)
Lineage: Eukaryota; Metazoa; Chordata; Mammalia; Primates; Cercopithecidae
Rfam family: Metazoan signal recognition particle RNA
About the family: The signal recognition particle (SRP) is a universally conserved ribonucleoprotein. It is involved in the co-translational targeting of proteins to membranes.
Source: Ensembl